CUGAUCGAGACGCUGGGCCAACGCCAGUGCAGCGCGCCCGGUUUCCGGGAUAAAUCUUCCCGGGAGCGUCAGAGAGUCAG
Molecule: non-coding RNA, 80 nt
Filed under: unclassified sequences
Description: L4-Archaeoglobi ribosomal protein leader
Rfam family: L4-Archaeoglobi ribosomal protein leades
Source: RNAcentral